RNAcentral lists this ribosomal RNA (869 nucleotides) under Salmonella enterica subsp. enterica serovar Oranienburg. Its description in RNAcentral is "partial 23S ribosomal RNA". It matches the Rfam family "Bacterial large subunit ribosomal RNA", at positions 711 to 1578 of the family's 2925-position model. RNAcentral also lists the same sequence under 1 other name. The record is from RNAcentral. Lineage: Bacteria; Pseudomonadati; Pseudomonadota; Gammaproteobacteria; Enterobacterales; Enterobacteriaceae.
AGACCCGAAACCCGGUGAUCUAGCCAUGGGCAGGUUGAAGGUUGGGUAACACUAACUGGAGGACCGAACCGACUAAUGUUGAAAAAUUAGCGGAUGACCUGUGGCUGGGGGUGAAAGGCCAAUCAAACCGGGAGAUAGCUGGUUCUCCCCGAAAGCUAUUUAGGUAGCGCCUCGUGAAUUCAUCUCCGGGGGUAGAGCACUGUUUCGGCUAGGGGGCCAUCCCGGCUUACCAACCCGAUGCAAACUGCGAAUACCGGAGAAUGUUAUCACGGGAGACACACGGCGGGUGCUAACGUCCGUCGUGAAGAGGGAAACAACCCAGACCGCCAGCUAAGGUCCCAAAGUCAUGGUUAAGUGGGAAACGAUGUGGGAAGGCCCAGACAGCCAGGAUGUUGGCUUAGAAGCAGCCAUCAUUUAAAGAAAGCGUAAUAGCUCACUGGUCGAGUCGGCCUGCGCGGAAGAUGUAACGGGGCUAAACCAUGCACCGAAGCUGCGGCAGCGACACUCAGGUGUUGUUGGGUAGGGGAGCGUUCUGUAAGCCUGUGAAGGUGGCCUGUGAGGGUUGCUGGAGGUAUCAGAAGUGCGAAUGCUGACAUAAGUAACGAUAAAGCGGGUGAAAAGCCCGCUCGCCGGAAGACCAAGGGUUCCUGUCCAACGUUAAUCGGGGCAGGGUGAGUCGACCCCUAAGGCGAGGCCGAAAGGCGUAGUCGAUGGGAAACGGGUUAAUAUUCCCGUACUUGGUGUUACUGCGAAGGGGGGACGGAGAAGGCUAUGUUGGCCGGGCGACGGUUGUCCCGGUUUAAGCGUGUAGGUGUGUGUUCCAGGUAAAUCCGGUUCACUUUAACACUGAGGCGUGACGACGAGGCACU